RNAcentral lists this ribosomal RNA (443 nucleotides) under uncultured bacterium. RNAcentral describes it as "SSU rRNA". It matches the Rfam family "Bacterial small subunit ribosomal RNA", at positions 26 to 518 of the family's 1533-position model. The record is from RNAcentral.
AGAGCGAACGCUGGCGGCAGGCUUAACACAUGCAAGUCGAGCGCCCCGCAAGGGGGAGCGGCAGACGGGUGAGUAACGCGUGGGAACGUACCUUUUGGUUCGGAACAACACAGGGAAACUUGUGCUAAUACCGGAUAAGCCCUUACGGGGAAAGAUUUAUCGCCGAAAGAUCGGCCCGCGUCUGAUUAGCUAGUUGGUGAGGUAACGGCUCACCAAGGCGACGAUCAGUAGCUGGUCUGAGAGGAUGAUCAGCCACAUUGGGACUGAGACACGGCCCAAACUCCUACGGGAGGCAGCAGUGGGGAAUAUUGGACAAUGGGCGCAAGCCUGAUCCAGCCAUGCCGCGUGAGUGAUGAAGGCCCUAGGGUUGUAAAGCUCUUUUAACGGGGAGAUAAUGACGGUACCGUAGAAUAAGCCCCGGCUAACUUCGUGCCAGCAGCCGC